This 29-nucleotide non-coding RNA is filed under the name Rattus norvegicus (Norway rat). Lineage: Eukaryota; Metazoa; Chordata; Mammalia; Rodentia; Muridae. The record is from RNAcentral.
UCAGCUUUCUCCUGGCUGAGACUGCCUGG